GCCGCGUCUUCGCUCGAUUGCUGGCGCUCCAUUCCCAUCUCCCGCUGCUCGCUCACUGGCCUCUCAGCUCCGAGAGGAGAAAUCCCCCAAUUCUUUUGGACCCACGAACGAGAUCCAACGCGCUAGCCGAAGAAAUUGCCGUCGCCACAAGUCUUCGGGGAAUAUCCGGCCGUCUCGGAACCUCCGGAAGAGCAAACAUGCCUUUAGGUACGAAAAAAAGAGGCAGAAAACAAGAAAAAAAAACCACCGUUACAAAACGACUGAGCUCUUGUCACUUGAAGAAAUGAUCCAGCUUUAAAGUCAAUGCAGUGGCGAUUAUCAUUCA
Molecule: long non-coding RNA, 325 nt
Organism: Selaginella moellendorffii
Lineage: Eukaryota; Viridiplantae; Streptophyta; Lycopodiopsida; Selaginellales; Selaginellaceae
Exons: 2
Source: RefSeq, a predicted model, not a curated record